This 253-nucleotide ribosomal RNA is filed under the name uncultured bacterium. RNAcentral's name for it is "partial 16S ribosomal RNA". It matches the Rfam family "Bacterial small subunit ribosomal RNA", at positions 524 to 776 of the family's 1533-position model. The record is from RNAcentral.
UACAGAGGGUGCAAGCGUUAAUCGGAAUUACUGGGCGUAAAGGGUGUGUAGGUGGUUUAAAAAGUUGGGUGUGAAAGUCCUGGGCUUAACCUGGGGACUGCGCUCAAUACUGUUAAGCUAGAGUACUGUAGAGGAAGGUGGAAUUUCCAGUGUAGCGGUGAAAUGCGUAGAUAUUGGAAGGAACAUCAGUGGCGAAGGCGACCUUCUGGACAGAUACUGACACUGAGGCACGAAAGCGUGGGGAGCAAACAGG